RNAcentral lists this ribosomal RNA (697 nucleotides) under uncultured bacterium. Its description in RNAcentral is "bacterial SSU rRNA". It matches the Rfam family "Bacterial small subunit ribosomal RNA", at positions 48 to 762 of the family's 1533-position model. The record is from RNAcentral.
UUAACACAUGCAAGUCGAGCGGUAAGGCCCUUCGGGGUACACGAGCGGCGAACGGGUGAGUAACACGUGGGUGAUCUGCCCUGCACUUCGGGAUAAGCCUGGGAAACUGGGUCUAAUACCGGAUAUGACCAAAGGCUGCAUGGUUUUUGGUGGAAAGGUUUACUGGUGCAGGAUGGGCCCGCGGCCUAUCAGCUUGUUGGUGGGGUAAUGGCCUACCAAGGCGACGACGGGUAGCCGACCUGAGAGGGUGACCGGCCACACUGGGACUGAGACACGGCCCAGACUCCUACGGGAGGCAGCAGUGGGGAAUAUUGCACAAUGGGCGAAAGCCUGAUGCAGCGACGCCGCGUGAGGGAUGACGGCCUUCGGGUUGUAAACCUCUUUCAGCAGGGACGAAGCGAAAGUGACGGUACCUGCAGAAGAAGCACCGGCCAACUACGUGCCAGCAGCCGCGGUAAUACGUAGGGUGCAAGCGUUGUCCGGAAUUACUGGGCGUAAAGAGCUCGUAGGCGGUUUGUCGCGUCGUCUGUGAAAACUCGAGGCUCAACCUCGAGCUUGCAGGCGAUACGGGCAGACUUGAGUACUGCAGGGGAGACUGGAAUUCCUGGUGUAGCGGUGAAAUGCGCAGAUAUCAGGAGGAACACCGGUGGCGAAGGCGGGUCUCUGGGCAGUAACUGACGCUGAGGAGCGAAAGCGU